GCAUGGUUGUCGUCAGCUCGUGUCGUGAGAUGUUGGGUUAAGUCCCGCAACGAGCGCAACCCUUAUUACUAGUUGCCAGCAUUUAGUUGGGCACUCUAGUGAGACUGCCGGUGACAAACCGGAGGAAGGUGGGGACGACGUCAAAUCAUCAUGCCCCUUAUGACCUGGGCUACACACGUGCUACAAUGGAUGGUACAACGAGUUGCGAGACCGCGAGGUUUAGCUAAUCUCUUAAAACCAUUCUCAGUUCGGAUUGUAGGCUGCAACUCGCCUACAUGAAGCCGGAAUCGCUAGUAAUCGCGGAUCAGCAUGCCGCGGUGAAUACGUUCCCGG
This 333-nucleotide ribosomal RNA is filed under the name Latilactobacillus sakei. RNAcentral describes it as "bacterial SSU rRNA". It matches the Rfam family "Bacterial small subunit ribosomal RNA", at positions 1043 to 1377 of the family's 1533-position model. The record is from RNAcentral. Lineage: Bacteria; Bacillati; Bacillota; Bacilli; Lactobacillales; Lactobacillaceae.